UGAUAGAAAUUUAAACACUUUUUAAAGUAUCAAUUGGAGGGCAAGUCUGGUGCCAGCAGCCGCGGUAAUUCCAGCUCCAAUAGCGUAUAUUAAAAUUGUUGCAGUUAAAAAGCUCGUAGUUGAAUUUCUGUUAAAAAUAACCGGUCUGCUUUUUUUAUUAAAAGUUGUAUCAUUUUGGUGUGUUUUUAACAAUAAUAAUGUCCUUUGAAAAUGUUUUUUACUUUAUUGUAAUAAGUCAUUGUUUUGAGGAUUUUUACUUUGAGAAAAUUAGAGUGUUUUUAGCAGGCUUUUACGCUUUUGAAUACUGCAGCAUGGAAUAAUAAGAUAGGAUUUUAGUUCUACAUUAUUGGUUUUAAGAACUAAAUUAAUGAUUGAUAGGGAUAGUUGGGGGCAUUUGUAUUUAACUGUCAGAGGUGAAAUUCUUAGAUUUGUUAAAGACAAACUAUUGCGAAAGCAUUUGCCAAAGAUGUUUUCAUUAAUCAAGAACGAAAGUUAGGGGAUCGAAG
Molecule: ribosomal RNA, 506 nt
Filed under: Hepatozoon americanum
Lineage: Eukaryota; Apicomplexa; Hepatozoidae
Description: partial 18S ribosomal RNA
Rfam family: Eukaryotic small subunit ribosomal RNA
Source: RNAcentral